CACUAAUUAAUUACAAAUGAUGCAGCUCUACUACAUUGAAGAAAGAAUGAUGAACCAGCCUUUAAUUGUAAGUAUAUCGUUACAUACAUUUCUUCGCUUAUAAAUCUAAUUUCUGUGUUUCUUUAACACAGUGAUGAUUAU
Molecule: long non-coding RNA, 141 nt
Organism: Limulus polyphemus (Atlantic horseshoe crab)
Lineage: Eukaryota; Metazoa; Arthropoda; Merostomata; Xiphosura; Limulidae
Exons: 3
Source: RefSeq, a predicted model, not a curated record